CACCAGGUUGAUUCUGCCUGACGUAGACGCUAUACUCUAAGAUUAACCCAUGCAUGUUUAUUGAAUAUAAAGAAAAGACGAACAGCUCAGUAACUCUUAUUUGAUUUGAUGUAUUAGGAUUCUAACUAUGUUAAAUUAUAGGUAACAAUAAUACAAUAAGAAUAAGAUCUAUCAGUUAGUUGUUAAGGUAAUGGCUUAACAAGACUAUGACGGAUAACGGUAUUACUUUGUAAUAUUCCGGAGAAGGAGCCUGAGAGAUUGCUACUAAGUCUAAGGAUUGCAGCAGGGGCGAAACUUGACCUAUGAUAUUAUAUUGAGGCAGUUAUGAGUAGUAUUUUAUAAUUAUUGUAGUAUUGUAAGUACAUAUUACAAGAUAAAUCGGAGGGCAAAUCGAGUGCCAGCAGCCGCGGUAAUACUUGUUCCGAUAGUGUGUAUGAUGAUUGAUGCAGUUAAAAAGUCUGUAGUUUAUUUAUAAUAAGCAUUGUAAGGUAUACUGUAUGGUUAGGAGAGAGAUGAAAUGUGAUAACCCUAACUGGAUGAACAGAAGCGAAAGCUGUAUACUUAAAUGUAUUAUUAGAACAAGGACGUAAGCUAGAGGAUCGAAGAUGAUUAAAUACCAUUGUAGUUCUAGCAGUAAACUAUGUUGAAUCAUAGAUAUAUUUUGAUAUAUAUUUAUGUAGAGAAAUUAAGAUUAUAUUGACUCUGGGGAUAGUAUGAUCGCAAGAUUGAAAAUUAAAGAAAGUGACGGAAGAAUACCACAAGGAGUGGAUUGUGCGGCUUAAUUUGACUCAACGCGGGGUAAUUUACCAGGUAUAACAUGGUAUAAUAUUUUAUCAUGAUAGUGGUGCAUGGCCGUUUCCAAUGGAUGCUGUGAAGUAAUGAUUAAUUUCAACAAGAUGUGAGACCCUCAUUUAGACAGAUGUAGUGAUACAUAUGAAGGAGAGGAUUAAAACAGGUCCGUUAUGCCCUAAGAUAAUCUGGGUUGCACGCGCAAUACAAUAAUAUUUGAUAUUAUAAGGGAUAAUAUAAUGUAAGAUAUAUUUGAACAUGGAAUUGCUAGUAAAUUUUAUUUAAUAAGUAGAAUUGAAUGAGUCCCUGUUCUUUGUACACACCGCCCGU
This 1119-nucleotide ribosomal RNA is filed under the name Nosema bombycis. Its description in RNAcentral is "SSU rRNA". It matches the Rfam family "Microsporidia small subunit ribosomal RNA". The record is from RNAcentral. Lineage: Eukaryota; Fungi; Microsporidia; Nosematidae.